GUGCAUCGAACUGUUGACGCUUCAUCCGCUUCAGUCUUACCCCAAGUGAACCUUGUGGGUUCGUAAGGUGUCCUGUGUUGGUUGCCAAAAGAAUGGCAUUUGACGGCUUCRGUACGUGCAUCCGCCUUGUGCCCGUAUAGGUGUGAGGYGGACGCUAGGCGAGCUCUGUGUUCCCGGCAUUCCAAGUGCUCCGGCAUUUGGUUGCUGCGGCCCAUGGGGUCUUUGCUUGUUCUCUCGGAUGCGGAAUGUUAAGUGUGGGCAUGCGAGGUCUCGGCCUCAACUCGUCCAGGCACAAUAUUUUCACUCGAAUGACCUCUGCGCCUGUCAUGAUCUUUCCGACCGAGGCCUCUCAAUGGGGCUUACCGGAUGAGGUGAGAACAUGCGGGUGUCAGUGUCAAAGAGGAAAGC
This 408-nucleotide unclassified non-coding RNA is filed under the name Boronia cymosa. Its description in RNAcentral is "partial external transcribed spacer". Lineage: Eukaryota; Viridiplantae; Streptophyta; Magnoliopsida; Sapindales; Rutaceae. The record is from RNAcentral.